AAUACGUAGGUGGCAAGCGUUGUCCGGAAUUAUUGGGCGUAAAGCGCGCGCAGGCGGUCCUUUAAGUCUGAUGUGAAAGCCCACGGCUCAACCGUGGAGGGUCAUUGGAAACUGGGGGACUUGAGUACAGAAGAGGAAAGCGGAAUUCCACGUGUAGCGGUGAAAUGCGUAGAGAUGUGGAGGAACACCAGUGGCGAAGGCGGCUUUCUGGUCUGUAACUGACGCUGAGGCGCGAAAGCGUGGGGAGCAAACAGGA
Molecule: ribosomal RNA, 256 nt
Filed under: uncultured prokaryote
Description: partial 16S ribosomal RNA
Rfam family: Bacterial small subunit ribosomal RNA
Source: RNAcentral